This 61-nucleotide transfer RNA is filed under the name Podarcis lilfordi (Lilford's wall lizard). Its description in RNAcentral is "tRNA.Undet". The record is from RNAcentral. Lineage: Eukaryota; Metazoa; Chordata; Lepidosauria; Squamata; Lacertidae.
GGGGUAUAGAUCAGUGGUAGAGCAUCUGAGAAGAUCGCAGGUUCAAUUCCUGGCACCACCA